This 199-nucleotide ribosomal RNA is filed under the name uncultured bacterium. RNAcentral's name for it is "partial 16S ribosomal RNA". It matches the Rfam family "Bacterial small subunit ribosomal RNA", at positions 1300 to 1500 of the family's 1533-position model. The record is from RNAcentral.
GCAGGCUGCAACUCGCCUGCAUGAAGUCGGAAUUGCUAGUAAUCGCGGAUCAGCAUGCCGCGGUGAAUACGUUCUCGGGCCUUGUACACACCGCCCGUCACACCAUGGGAGUCGGUAACACCCGAAGUCUGUAGCCUGACGCAAGAGGGCGCAGCCGAAGGUGGGAUUGAUGACUGGGGUGAAGUCGUAACAAGGUAGC